AAGCUCGUAGUUGAAUUUCGGGGUCAGUAGGUUGGUCAUGCCACUGGUAUGUACUGGUCUCACUGAUUCCUCCUUCCUGAUGAGCCGUAAUGCCAUUAAUUUGGUGUUGCGAGGAAUCUGGACUGUUACUUUGAAAAAAUUAGAGUGUUUAAAGCAGGCUAACGCUUGAAUACAUUAGCAUGGAAUAAUGAAAUAGGACGUUCGAUCUUAUUUUGUUGGUUUCUAAGAUUGACGUAAUGAUUAAUAGGGAUAGUUGGG
RNAcentral lists this ribosomal RNA (258 nucleotides) under uncultured Glomus. RNAcentral's name for it is "partial 18S ribosomal RNA". It matches the Rfam family "Eukaryotic small subunit ribosomal RNA", at positions 624 to 886 of the family's 1831-position model. Lineage: Eukaryota; Fungi; Glomeromycota; Glomeromycetes; Glomerales; Glomeraceae. The record is from RNAcentral.